This 466-nucleotide ribosomal RNA is filed under the name uncultured bacterium. RNAcentral's name for it is "partial 16S ribosomal RNA". It matches the Rfam family "Bacterial small subunit ribosomal RNA", at positions 28 to 507 of the family's 1533-position model. The record is from RNAcentral.
GACGAACGCUGGCGGCGUGCUUAACACAUGCAAGUCGAACGGAAAGGCCCUGCUUGCAGGGUACUCGAGUGGCGAACGGGUGAGUAACACGUGGGUGAUCUGCCCUGCACUUCGGGAUAAGCCUGGGAAACUGGGUCUAAUACCGGAUAGGAGCCAUUUUUAGUGUGAUGGUUGGAAAGUUUUUUUCGGUGUAGGAUGAGCUCGCGGCCUAUCAGCUUGUUGGUGGGGUAAUGGCCUACCAAGGCGGCGACGGGUAGCCGGCCUGAGAGGGUGGACGGCCACAUUGGGACUGAGAUACGGCCCAGACUCCUACGGGAGGCAGCAGUGGGGAAUAUUGCACAAUGGGCGCAAGCCUGAUGCAGCGACGCCGCGUGGGGGAUGACGGCCUUCGGGUUGUAAACUCCUUUCGCUAGGGACGAAGCUUUUUGCGACGGUACCUAGAUAAGAAGCACCGGCUAACUACGUG